CUCUGCAGCGUUGGCCCCGUAAGCUUGGACAAAACACAGGUGAGGGCGGGAGGGAGGGGGGGAAAGUGGUAGCCAAAGUGACUGGCUUGCCGAAAGGCUAAUGCAGCCUCCCCGCCUGGGAAGGGUGCUGAACGCGAGAGGGUUUUAGGCAAAGGUUCAGGAAAGAUGCUGCAAGUCGAGAUAAAAAUAAAUCACCGGAGGAGAAAGAUGUGAAUCACUUCCAAGUCCCGACGUUCACCCGCGCAUCUCGCAUCUCUGACGGUAACCACCACGGGGUCAUUCCUCCGUGACCCUUUGCCGGGCGGCACGGCACAGCGGCCCAAGGAUGAACGCAGGCUACUCCUGCAAAAAGUCGUCUCAAUCUCCUGAUGCCGGGGCUCGGGGUCAGCUGGAGAACUUUCUGGAAUCUGCCCUCAAUCCCCCUCAAAGUUCACUGCCACACCAGCCCGGAACUAGUAGAAUCGUGACAGAAGCUCAGGCCAUUCCUGGGAGCGUAAGUCAGGCUGAGAGACAAGUCAAGUAUGUGCAGCGUAGAAUCGUCUGUACGUCUGUCUGUCUGUCUGCCUUGAGGCCACGCCGAGUGCCAAGCUCCAGCACCUCCAUCACCACGGAAGGGCUAAAAGCUCUCCACGACAGUCCCGUGUCCAUCUAGUCCAUCCCAUCCCGCCCUGCUCACUUAUACUGUCAGAGCUCAGGGGUUUGCUUCCAUUCCCCGUGGCCCAGUCCUUGUUUGGCUUCUUCAGACACCACAGGGAAGAAACUUUUUGGUUUGGCGCAUCCCCAUUUGUUUUUAUCUUCGUUGAUGUCCUUUGCCAACAGAGCUGACGCGCCGACGACAUCUCUGAAGUCCACGUCAGGGCACCUUCUGCCAGUGCCUUCCUCUGUGCACUUUGUGAAUCCAGGAUGAACACCAAGGUCUUUAACCCCGUCCUGAAUGAGGUCUUGUGCACAGUGUGAAACGGGACCCGAUUCUUUCCACUCCCCCCGCUCCACCCCUGCCCCACGUGGCUGGUCGGUUUCUCCAAGCCCAUUCCUCGAAGAGGCCCCACCUGUUCCAUGCGAUACUCUUAGCGCCUCUGUCACUGAUGGUCGAUACCGCUGAGCACUUACAUCGGGGCUCUCAGUUCCAGUCAUCGGUCAGAGUCUGUUUCCCCUCUACCCGCACUGCUCUGAUAACUGCAGCGAGGGCCAGAGAUAGCACCGAGGGUGUGGCACUCGCCGUGGGCAGCUCCCGUGGCCGCGUGCCUGUUUCUAAUUCCCAGUGUCACAGACGGUCCCUGAGCACCAUGAGGGAGGACUCCCGAGCUCAGAGCAAGGAGCCGCCCCUGAGCAAUGCCAGGUGUGGCCCAGCCC
Long non-coding RNA from Sorex araneus (European shrew), 1353 nucleotides. RefSeq lists it as uncharacterized. The transcript is spliced from 4 exons. Lineage: Eukaryota; Metazoa; Chordata; Mammalia; Eulipotyphla; Soricidae. The record is from RefSeq and is a predicted model, not a curated record.